This 253-nucleotide ribosomal RNA is filed under the name uncultured bacterium. Its description in RNAcentral is "partial 16S ribosomal RNA". It matches the Rfam family "Bacterial small subunit ribosomal RNA", at positions 524 to 776 of the family's 1533-position model. The record is from RNAcentral.
UACGUAGGUGGCAAGCGUUGUCCGGAUUUACUGGGCGUAAAGAGCGCGCAGGCGGUCGUUCAAGUCGCGUGUGAAAGCCCCCGGCUCAACUGGGGAGGGUCACGCGAUACUGAUCGACUCGAAGGCAGGAGAGGGAAGCGGAAUUCCCGGUGUAGUGGUGAAAUGCGUAGAUAUCGGGAGGAACACCAGUGGCGAAGGCGGCUUUCUGGCCUGUUCUUGACGCUGAGGCGCGAAAGCUAGGGGAGCGAACGGG